Molecule: long non-coding RNA, 5566 nt
Filed under: Medicago truncatula (barrel medic)
Lineage: Eukaryota; Viridiplantae; Streptophyta; Magnoliopsida; Fabales; Fabaceae
Description: long non-coding RNA (MTRU_LNC004356)
Source: RNAcentral
GUUGAUCAUGCCUUUCCUGCUGAACCAAAGAGAUGCAUCUUUUCUGCUACUACAGCUUUCAUGGCAUCUCUUGCAGAAGCCAUAACAUUAACUAAAUCGCUUUUUGGAGUAUUUAGGGAGUCCAUGUAUGCUUUUCUUACUUCAGUGUUGACAUUGAACUUUCUAACACCAAGAUUUAUGCAUUCCUGUCAUGAAUCAAGAGGCUCUUACAAUGUUAGCAAUAUAAACUUUUAAGAGCAUGUUGCUAGUAUUAUUCAAUUUUCAAAUCUACAUUGCCAAUCACAAAUAAAAGUUAUUUUUAUGAAUAAGAGGUUCGACAUAAAGGAUAACGUUCAAAUUUCCGGUUUGAAUAAACAGCAUAAUUAAGUACUAAUAGUAAAUUUAUUUCUAUUAACAAAAAUAAAAUAAAGUCAAAAAUUUGUGAUAUACUGCAGCUGUAUCCUAGGCUCGAUGCUCAUAGCAUGUAGAUGUUACUUGAAAGACAGACAAAAAAUAAAGUUAACUUCCAAAAAAAUUAUGUAGAUUACUGUACCUUAACAAGUUCUGUGCCCAAACCAGAUGCACCAUGAAGCACCAGCAAAACUCCUUUCUUCUGGCUCACAGCACGCAGCUCCUAAACAUUGUAGAAUGUCAAAAUCUUAAUAUGAAAAGAAACCUCAACUAUGGUUCAAAUGACUGUCCAUUUGGACAAAUUAGGCAUCCACUGCCACCGAAAUUUUGUUUUUUGAAAUGGAAAAAAAAAAAAGGAGGAAGACAUGGAAACCUAGAAAAUCAGCUUCAACCAAAAUAAAUUCUAUUAAGGCAACUCAGUAUCACCAAGCCUGUAAGGAUGUUACUCCAUAAAUACAGAUCAAAUGCCACAUUGAAUUAUACAUAUUGAAAAGAUGAUUACUUUAUAGAACAACUUGAGGAACUAAAAGUACUUCCUAUAUAUAUUUCAGAGGUUGAAAAAAAAGUUGUUUUCACUUCUAUAAUAUGCUGAUUUCUGUUAUUAUUUUUUUUUUUAAUAGGGGCACUUCUGCUGAAAAGUUGAUUUAAGAGCUUUUCUUUGUCUUUUAUUUUUUGGUAAAUGAGUAACUGAAUGGAUAUUUUCUGUCUUUUAUAUUUUGCUAAAUAAGUAAGUGAAUGGAUAUUACAAGCAGGAGUAUACUAUCACCUUAAGCAAAUCUAAUCUGAGUUUUGGUCCACUUGCCGGGUACUUUCCAUGCACAUUACCAAUACACACUGCUAAAGCAUCAAUGCCAGUCUCAUCAAUGAAUUUCUCCGCCUGAAAUAAAUGAGACCAUCAUUAGUAAAUUUAGCAAUGGAAAGCACAGAAGAAUACUUUGAGAUCUUAUUAUAGAGGAGUGAGCGACCUUAUUAAUAUCUGUUAGCUUGGCUUCAUACUCUUCGACAGUCAAGUCAUCUUCUGUCCCUGACAAUCUUCCUAGCUCAGCUUCAACCAACAUAUCUUUUGAGUGAGCCAAUAAUGAUAUAAAUUUUGUGUAUUUAACAUUUUCUUCGAAAGAAAGAUGUGAACCAUCCACCAUCAAAGAACUGACUCCCUGGAAUUGUUGCAUUCAGACAUACAAUUUUACUUUAGAGAAAUGUAGAGAUAAUAAAGCAAACUAUAAAUGCAUGCCGGAUCAUCUUUGAGAUUGAAUUUGUGGUUUAAGUAUGAGUGUUUGCAAGUAGAAAUGAAAAUUACCUGUUCAAGAGCUUCCACAAGAUCUUCCUUUGAAGUUCCAUGAUCAAAGUGAACAGUGAUGGGCACCUGCAAGAAAUAUAGGUAGUGAAAUCAGAAAGUUAGUAAAACCCUCAUUUGUUUUGUUGAAUGAUACUGGUUUCUCUUGACUCUAACACAGCAUCCAAAACCAUAAGACCCCGUUUACUUAUUGAAAACAUUUUCAGGUUUCAUUUAAUAAAAUUUAUGUUCUUUUUAAAUUGCUAGAAAGGAGAUGGAAGACUCAUGUAGUGAAUAAUUGUGAUAGAGAGGUGAUGGAAGACACACUAAUGCAUUUUCAAAAACAAUAUAUUCACAUUUUAAAAAUUUAUGGAAAUAAUAGAUGCGUUGUAAAAAAUUGUAAUAAAAAAAUGGUGAGGGCAAACAUUUGAUAAGGCAUGUCUUUGUUUGUUCCAUCUUGACAAAACAACUUUUCUUUCUGAUUACCAAUUAGAUGUCCAUUCACUUCAAAUGAUUUCUUUUUUAUUAAAAACAAAGGAAAUUCAAAUAAAACACUUCAAAUAAUAUCAUUGCCACUUACACUAGCGCGCUCUGCAGCAGAAAUGCAACAAGAAACCAAGGGAAUUCCUCCUUGCUUCAAGGCGCCGGGAUGAAUCUGAAAAUUAUAUAGGUUAUACAAAAACUUUAGAAACACCAAGUUUUAAAAAUAUUAAAUAAAAGAAUUUCAAGUCAUCUAAGAAGCCUAUACAUAAAGUGAUACACAUAUACAAAGACCGGACAUACUAAAUAGUAAAUACUAAUAUGAAACAAUCAUUCAACAAUGCAAUAAAGUUUAGUUGUUUUGCAAAUAAUUCAAAACUCUGAAUGCCAUGAUAUUUCUGUUAUUUCCUCAAAAUAGUUUGAAUUGUGUUCAUAACAAUGAAAAUGAACACAUGCAAAUCAAUAUUUUCAACUGAUUGCUUCUGACCUGUAAUAUUGCAGGACUUUGCGUUUCCUCUGCAGCAGAAACAACAGCGUCAACUCCUUCCAAAUUAUAGACAUUAAAUGCCCCAACAGCGUAUCCCCCUUUUUCUGCAUUCUUUAUGCCAAAAAGAACAAAAAAAUCAGUAUUUGUGAAGAAGCAGAUGCAAAACCUUGAACCAUAUUAUCCUUACGUUUAGAAUCUCUUUUGUUGAUGAAAUUGUUGAUGGACAAGUCCAAGACUUCACGACUUGUGCCAGUGCUCCACUGUCACCAACAUUGCCUACCAAAUACAAAUUAUUUUUGAAAAAAUGAGAUGAGAUUUAGAUUGAAGAAAGAUAUAGAUUUAAUAGUACCAGAUACUCAGACUUGAUACAAAAUGUAACGUAAAAAGAAGGAAAACGACAACUGCAAAUGACAUGCCUGGGAAGACAAUGUAAGGAACUCCAGGAUGUCUACUUUCAGGGCCUAGUUGCCACAAGGGAAUACCGGCGAGUGCUUGUCCAACAACCUUGGCGCAUUUUGCACCAAGGGCUUUUGUAGCAAGGUCUGAAGAGGUAAUACCACCCUAGAAAAGGUACUAUUUGUCAGUGUUUGAUUAAAACUUUGGACAUAAUUUGAAAGAAAGGAUAAGCAGUACAUUUUUUCAGCACAUAAUAAAUAAUCUUUAAAUAUUAUGUCUUAUACAAACAAGUAACUAAUUAAACAGCAGAAUGCAGGUUCACUAAGUCAUUUAAGUCAUUUAAACGUAGAUUACCUUUGCAAUUAUAUAGCGAGGUUUUGUAGUAAUUCUUUUCAUUAUUUCCACCAAAGCAGAACUCACUUUAUAGUUAAUGUCCAAACUCUCAGAGGCAGCUGCAAAUUUGAAAAUAAACUGGAAGAUUAGAAAGAGGGACAUAAACAUUAUUUCACAAAUUUAAAUGCACUAGCUUUCUUUGAAUGGUCAUAACAAGAACAGAGAAGCUAUCUUAGAGAUGAUCUUGAAUGCUAAAAUAGUUAUAAAAUCUUGACAAGAAAGAAGCGGAGAGAAUGGAUAAAAAUCACAAAGCAGAGAGACAAACAUUUCCCGGUUAUGAGAUUUCGGCUGGUCAUUACAAGCGUGUCUUUACGAUUUUUAAGAUAUACAUCUGCUAAUUCAGCUGCUCUACUGAUUUCAUCCUCCCUCUCCUCAAUAGACCCCAUUGCAAGUUUUUCAACGGAAGCCUAUUACAAAAGAUUCUUAAUCAGACCAGCAAAUAAAAUUUAAAAAGAAAGAUUGCAUUAGGCAUAAAAGUGAAUGUUUUCACUAAAUAGAUUCACAUUAUUGUUAACUACAUGAGAGGAUUUAAAUUAACAACAAAUGAUGAAAAGAAAAUUAGAAUGUUUAUCACCUCAAUGCUUCUUAAGAAAUGACCGCACUGUAAUUUAAGCUGUUCAACCUGGGAUUAUAAGCAUGAGGAAAAAAAAAAUUAGAAAAUGGGUUUCCUUGGAAAAUUUGAUAUCAAUAACUUGAUUCAAUUUUUCACCUGCUUUGUUGUUUUCGGAACAUAAGAUCCCACAAUAGUCAAACCUCCAUUCCUUUCUCUACCUAUUCCUAGAUCCUUUGGCAACACCGGAGGUUUAGAAAUGAUUCCGAUACAGGCAGAUACAAAGCUAGCAGCAGUCCGACACAAGAAACGUUUCCCUGACAACUCUGCCUGUUAAUAAGUCAGAACAAUACAAGAGCAUUUUCAUCAGUAAAAAAACAUGCAGAAAGGGAAGAAGAAAAAGCAAAAUGUAGAAGAAAGAAUUUUUGCCUUGAUCAUUCCAAGUGCAAAUACAGUCAUGUCUCUUUCACUGGCCGCAUUUACUAUGCAUACUGACCCCUGCUUAAUGCAAUAUACGUAAUCUCGGUAAGUAGAUUGAAAAUCUCUACUUAUUCAUAAUAUCUUGCGUAGGCAAAGAAACCCUACAUGUUUUUAGAAACUAAAGAGAAGAAACCAUAUCUCAAAUUUAACAUACCUUCUUCAAACUACAUAGAUGCUUACAAACUGCAUCUGGCCCCCCUUUCCUCAAAAGCUGGAUAGAAAUAGAUACAACACUACUUGCAAGUAUGCGACCAUUUGUCUUUUCCUCUACCCACUAUAUCAGGACAAAAAAGCAUCUCAAAUCAUUAUUAUUCUUAUGAAUAAUAUGAAAAUAUAAAUUAAAUUGAUCAAGUCAAAGGAAGGGACAAAAAGCUUUACAUCACAUAAGUUUGAAGAUUUGUAGCCAAAGGAAGCAUCUUUAGCGAACUCCGUGUCCCCUGCAGGAACAAGCCUGGAGACAAAAAAUAAGUAGGAUUAUAACUUUGUAUCCGUUCAGGACUCCUUAUAGCAAGAUUAUGAAUGGAAAUACAUACAUUUCGGAAUCAGCAACAAAAUGUGUAUCAUUAAUAGUGUAACGGCCCCCUUGAAGGAAAAAUGGACAAAUUAUCCAUGCAUCCAUUUCACCCAAUACUGAAACAACUGCAUCUGUUUCCUGUAAAAGACAGCCGUGUCAUUUUCCAAAUUGAAGCAUAAGUCCCAAUACCAUUGAAUACAAUAACUACUGAUCUAAAAUAAAUCAUCCUUGCCUCUGGAAAAUGCCCGCGCAAAGUUGAAUCACCCCUUAAAACAACUGUAAAAUCGAUCUUGUCAACUGAUUUUGCUGCAGUGUCUAGAUUUUUGCAAAUCUCUUUUAUCAAUAUAGUGGCCUGUCAAAUAUCAAAUGUAAAUUAUGAACUUCAUUGAACUCAAUAUUUCUGAUCAUUGAAAUAUCUAAUAGUUUGAACUCUGGUCUGGAGAACAGCUCAUGCAUCAGGUUUCUUUUGAAGUAUUUUAUUAUAGAGGUGUGUUAUUUGAACAACCAUUUGUGCGACAAAUUCUGGGACAACCAUAAAUUUACAAAGAAAAGUAGGUAUUGACACGGAAACCAAAGCAAUAGAGAGAGAGAAAGUAAAAACAU